This 253-nucleotide ribosomal RNA is filed under the name uncultured bacterium. RNAcentral describes it as "partial 16S ribosomal RNA". It matches the Rfam family "Bacterial small subunit ribosomal RNA", at positions 524 to 776 of the family's 1533-position model. The record is from RNAcentral.
UACGUAGGGGGCAAGCGUUGUCCGGAUUUAUUGGGCGUAAAGAGCGUGUAGGCGGCCACACAGGUCCGCUGUGAAAACUCGAGGCUCAACCUCGAGCUGUCGGUGGAAACCGUGUGGCUAGAGUCCGGAAGAGGAGAGUGGAAUUCCCGGUGUAGCGGUGAAAUGCGCAGAUAUCGGGAAGAACACCCGUGGCGAAGGCGGCUCUCUGGGACGGUACUGACGCUGAGGCGCGAAAGCGUGGGGAGCAAACAGG